CUGGUUUCAGAUCGCGGUUCCCUC
This 24-nucleotide non-coding RNA is filed under the name Arabidopsis thaliana (thale cress). Lineage: Eukaryota; Viridiplantae; Streptophyta; Magnoliopsida; Brassicales; Brassicaceae. The record is from RNAcentral.